CGCCGGAUGAAGAGAGGAGUGACUAUCGAGACCCGACAGCGGGGUCUUGCUAAAUUUUCGAGGCUGGCCUUGAACUUGCAAUGCUUUUGCCUCUGUCCUGAGCCACUGGGAUUACCGGCAUGCACCAUUGCAUCCAGCUCCCACUUAAGUAUUCAAAAGUAGAUUUAUCAGCAGGUUGCAGGUGAACAUGGCCAUGAGAGUAAGUGAUAGAGCUUGACAGGGCAGGUGUGUAUCUAUGAAGAGCUGUCAUCAUGAGCUGAGCAACUACUAUCACUAUCCAAUUAUAUAACACUUUCAUCAUGUCAGACUGAUGCACAAGGUACCAGCUGCAACAUGUCCAGAUCCACACCAACCUGCACCACCAACAGAACCUGGUCCACUGCCUGGGUGAGAAGAAGUGAUGAAUGAAGCACGUGGUCGAAUUCAGUCAGCUGGGAUCCAGGCAGAAUCCCUGCUUUGGCUGCCAAUAACAGGAAGAGGAGGAGAAGGAAGCAGAGGAGAAAAGGGAUGAAAUGGAGAGCAAGUAAUCUGGAAAUAGAACCUGAGAAGAUGGGAGGUUCAUGCUUCUUCUCUGGAGGUCUCUUAUUAGCCAGCAACAGGUCUCCUGGGCUCAGGAGCAACUGUCCUAUCUUCACUCCACCUGGGCUCCAGCAGCAGCCUCUGCUGCUCUGGGCACUAUAGGCUUCAUCUGGUCAUUCUACAAUUUCUGAAAUUCUGGUGCCUACUGCUAUCGGGAACAUGGAGUGACCUGGGAAGUCUGAACCCACAUAGGAGUCAUCUGGGGAAACCUGGGGUACUUCUCUGACUCUGGAUGACCCUAUUGCAUGCAGAGACUGUAGCACUAGUAUGACUGUUCAUGGGCCUUGUAAGGAAUGGAUUAAAGAGAACAGGAUGGUGCUAGAUGCUGGUGGUGUAAUGAAUGAGAAAUGUUCUGCUCUCAAGGAGGCCCCAGAAAAGGGAGUAAGUGGUAAUUACCCCACCCAGGGAUGGGGCACAACUUCUCAGACACUACCCUCCCUCUUUCCUAGGACCUAGGAUUCCUCUCCUUCCUAAAGCACAGGCUUUGGUCACAUAGGCCAAAAUCAGUUUCUCUAUGGCUCCAAUACCAUACCUGAAUGCUACCCUGUAGGCAGAAAUCUUCCUGAAAAACACCUGUCUCCACAGUUUGCUGACUGUGUGCCCUCUGGCUCUUCCUCUGAGUGUUCCUGCCAAGAACAAGGUCUAGCACUCUGUUGCUCUGCUCAGGUGGAAGUGGAAGUGGCUCUCCUGUUGAGAGCCCCCACUUCCCAUCACUGCUGCUCCUUAAACCCCUACCCCGUCAAAUGCCUGCCACAGUCGCUACAGGACCACUGCAUUCCUGAUGCCCAUUAGCAUGACACCCACCCUCCUCCAGUACCCAAUUCAGAGACCAGAAGCUUGUCUUUGAUGUCACCCAAACUAAAGAAUGAGCAAUUAGUACUGAUUCUGGCUCUAUGUCCUGAAUCUCUAGAUAAUAUCCAUCCUCCCUCCAUCUUCAUCCCUCCCCAAUGCCACUGCCCUCUGGAUUCACACAGUCCUAUGCAUUCUGUCUUUGCUACAUCCUAGCAGCGUGACCUCAGCAAAACCACCUCCCCAGGCUUCACUUUAAUGGACUAUAAAGCAGGUUUAUUAACAGUGUCUACCUCAUAGAUUGGCAUUUCGAUGAAAUGGUAUAAGUAGGUAAAAUGCUUAGCAGAGUGUAUGGCUCAAAGUAAGUCCUGAGCUAUCGUGCUAAGUGAAAUGAGCCGAUCCCCCAAACACCAAAGGAUGAAUGUUCUCUGAUAGGUGGAUACUAGCACACAUUAAGGGGGGGGGGGGGCUGGCAAAUAGAAGUUCAUUGGAUUAGACAAA
Sciurus carolinensis (gray squirrel) is the source of this 1869-nucleotide long non-coding RNA. RefSeq lists it as uncharacterized. The record is from RefSeq and is a predicted model, not a curated record. The transcript is spliced from 6 exons. NCBI's taxonomy places the organism in Eukaryota, Metazoa, Chordata, Mammalia, Rodentia, Sciuridae.